This 957-nucleotide long non-coding RNA is filed under the name Homo sapiens (human). RNAcentral describes it as "PREDICTED lncRNA (TCONS_00231718)". The record is from RNAcentral. Lineage: Eukaryota; Metazoa; Chordata; Mammalia; Primates; Hominidae.
AGCAGGCUGCCCGAGCUAGCAGCAGCAACCCGGUCAGGUCCCCUUUUGUGCUGUGGAAGCUUUGUUCUUUCUCUGUUUGCAAUAAAUCUUACUGCUGCUCACUCUUUGGGUCUACGCCGCCUUUAUGAGCUAUAACACUCACCGUGAAGGUCUGCAUCUUCACUCCUGAAGCCAGUGAGACUACGAACAAACGCAUUGGGAGGGACGAACAAACGCAUUGGGAGGGACCAACAACUCCGGACAUGAGGAACAAACAACUCCAGAUGCGCUGUCUUUAAGAGCUGUAACACUCACAGCAAAGGUCUGCGCCUCACUUCUUAAGUCAGUGAGACCACAAACCCACCAGAAGGAAGAAACUCCGGACGCAUCUGAACAUCUGAAAGCACAAACUCUGGACACACCAUCUUUAAGAACUGUAACACUCACCGCGAGGGUCCGCAGCUUCAUUCUGGAAGUCAGCAAGACCAAGAACCCAUUAUUCCGGACACAAAGGGGCAGCUGCUGUAGCUGUGUCACCUGACAAGCAACCAGCGCCCCCGCUGCACAAAGCAGCAGCAGCAGCAGUUUCAGCACAGCCCAGAAACGAGUGUGCUUCCGGGGGAGUGGCUUGCAGGGGCAGGAUUCGGACUUAGAUUUGGGGGCCUAAUUUGUUUCCUUGGCCGGGAUCCAGAGGUUAUUCUUCAGGUCCAGCCACUUCAGGUUCUUCAGCUGAGCAAAGCUGACGACAAGGUGACCAGCCUGUUGUUGAGGAGAGCCAGGUGCUGGAGGUUGACCAAACGGCCCAAGUCUGCUGGUGGGUGCUGCGGCUUGUUCUUUCUAAGGUCUAGCUUCGCCAGGUGUGUGAGGCCACAGAAAUCCGACGGGAGAAUAGUCAUUAUUUAUUUUUUUGAGAUGGAGUUUCACUCUUGUUGCCCAGGCUGGAGUGCAAUGCGCAAUCUCGGCUCACUGCAACCUCGG